UUAUGGCUCAGGACGAACGCUGGCGGCGUGCUUAACACAUGCAAGUCGAGCGAUGAAGCUCUUCGGAAGUGGAUAGCGGCGGACGGGUGAGUAACACGUGGGUAACCUGCCUCAUAGAGGGAAUAGCCUUCCGAAAGGAAGAUUAAUACCGCAUAAGAUUGUAAUAUCGCAUGAUAUAGCAAUUAAAGGAGUAAUCCGCUAUGAGAUGGACCCGCGUCGCAUUAGCUAGUUGGUGAGGUAACGGCUCACCAAGGCGACGAUGCGUAGCCGACCUGAGAGGGUGAUCGGCCACAUUGGGACUGAGACACGGCCCAGACUCCUACGGGAGGCAGCAGUGGGGAAUAUUGCACAAUGGGGGAAACCCUGAUGCAGCCAACGCCGCGUGAGUGAUGACGGUCUUCGGAUUGUAAAGCUCUGUCUUCAGGGACGAUAAUGACGGUACCUGAGGAGGAAGCCACGGCUAACUACGUGCCAGCCGCAGC
Molecule: ribosomal RNA, 482 nt
Filed under: uncultured bacterium
Lineage: Bacteria
Description: bacterial SSU rRNA
Rfam family: Bacterial small subunit ribosomal RNA
Source: RNAcentral